RNAcentral lists this ribosomal RNA (254 nucleotides) under uncultured bacterium. RNAcentral describes it as "partial 16S ribosomal RNA". It matches the Rfam family "Bacterial small subunit ribosomal RNA", at positions 524 to 776 of the family's 1533-position model. The record is from RNAcentral.
UACGUAGGUGGCGAGCGUUGUCCGGAUUUACUGGGCGUAAAGAGCGCGCAGGCGGUCGUACAAGUCGCGUGUGAAAGCCCCCGGCUCAACUGGGGAGGGUCACGCGAUACUGAUCGACUCGAAGGCAGGAGAGGGUAGUGGAAUUCCCGGUGUAGUGGUGAAAUGCGUAGAUAUCGUCAAGAACACCGAUAGUGAAGACAGCUAACUAAGCUUUAACUGACGCUGAGGCACGAAAAGUGUGGGGAUCAAACAGG